Molecule: long non-coding RNA, 236 nt
Filed under: Vigna radiata
Lineage: Eukaryota; Viridiplantae; Streptophyta; Magnoliopsida; Fabales; Fabaceae
Description: long non-coding RNA (VRAD_LNC005256)
Source: RNAcentral
UUGAAAUGUAUGAGGUGUUAAAUAUGUUUCAUGAUUACGUGUACAAUGAUGCAUACCUAUUGUUGAAUCUGUUAUGUAGCCGUGUGUGUGUCUUCUCAUUUUGAUUUUGGGUGAUACUGGACACUGUGUGUAUUAUAAUGAUUUCAAAUUCAAUGGAUGCAGUUGUAUGCUCUUGUGUGAUGAUAUUUAACGUUGUUUGGAUUAUCAAAAAUCUUUAUGGGUUACUGUGUAUUUUU